This 448-nucleotide long non-coding RNA is filed under the name Cyanistes caeruleus (blue tit). Its description in RNAcentral is "lncRNA (ENSCCEG00000020319.1)". The record is from RNAcentral. Lineage: Eukaryota; Metazoa; Chordata; Aves; Passeriformes; Paridae.
UCUUUCCCUGGCUGUGAAGUAAGCUGUGGGCUCUGUGGAUGCUUUGCUGUGACGGAGGGCCGAGGGCUGACCAAGUCGUGGGGAGGAUUUGUAUGUGGGAAGAGAGGAGAUGGCUGUGCAGCGUGCUCCCGAAUCUGCUCUGAGCUUGCUGAUGGUAAGUGCUUGCUGAAAUCCAUUUGGGAAAGGGGGGUGGGCGAGGGGAGCUGCUCCGCAUGGAUUCAGGGCUCCAAAUCCACAGGAGGAUUUUGUGUGAGCCGGUGCUUGGCUUUUAGAGGUCCCAGGGAACUUUGCAAAAGGCUCAUCUGGGGCUCGCAUGGAGGCAAUUCCUCCCACGAUGGGUUUUAGCACAUCUGGACCGGUGAUCAGGGCAGGAUUGUGAAGUCACCUUUCCGGCAGGGCUGGCACUUGCGUUCGGGGUUUAUCCUGAGCAGCAGAUUUAAUUUUGUUC